AGGACUGGAGCACUGCUGUCGUCUUUUCAUCAGGUGUGUCUUUUCAACUCCACCAUUCUCACAUAAUAUACCGUCAAACAACUACUCAAAUCAAUAAAAGAAACAAGGAACCCCAAUCACAAUCUAUAAAUGAAGUAGUAAUCCUAAAACUGCAAAAAAACAAAACAAACAAUGCUGCUGCACAUUCAUAACCGUUAUUCUUAUCAACAUCAUCACCAAUUUCGCUCCUAAACCUCUCACCAUGCCCACAGAUUCCUCUG
RNAcentral lists this long non-coding RNA (260 nucleotides) under Trifolium pratense (red clover). Its description in RNAcentral is "long non-coding RNA (TPRA_LNC004111)". Lineage: Eukaryota; Viridiplantae; Streptophyta; Magnoliopsida; Fabales; Fabaceae. The record is from RNAcentral.